Molecule: small nuclear RNA, 102 nt
Organism: Callithrix jacchus (white-tufted-ear marmoset)
Lineage: Eukaryota; Metazoa; Chordata; Mammalia; Primates; Cebidae
Source: Ensembl
GUGCUCGCUUUGGUGGCACAUAUACUAAAAUGGGAACAAUACAGAGAAUUAGCAUGGCCCCUGGGCAAGGAUGGGCAAAUUCGUGAAGCGUUCCAUCUUUUU